Ixodes scapularis (black-legged tick) is the source of this 73-nucleotide non-coding RNA. Lineage: Eukaryota; Metazoa; Arthropoda; Arachnida; Ixodida; Ixodidae. The record is from Rfam.
CCCUGGUUAGCUCAGUUGGUAGAGCGCUCGACUAGAAAUGGAGACGUCCCGGAUUCGAUACCUCGACCAGGCG